AAAGGUUCCCUCAGAAUGGUUGGAAAUCAUUCGUAGAGUGCAAAGGCAGAAGGGAGCUUGACUGCGAGACCUACAAGUCGAGCAGGGACGAAAGUCGGGCUUAGUGAUCCGGCGGUGCCGUAUGGAAGGGCCGUCGCUCAACGGAUAAAAGCUACCCUGGGGAUAACAGGCUUAUCUCCCCCAAGAGUCCACAUCGACGGGGAGGUUUGGCACCUCGAUGUCGGCUCGUCGCAUCCUGGGGCUGAAGUAGGUCCCAAGGG
RNAcentral lists this ribosomal RNA (260 nucleotides) under Shouchella clausii. Its description in RNAcentral is "Bacillus clausii partial 23S ribosomal RNA". It matches the Rfam family "Bacterial large subunit ribosomal RNA", at positions 2312 to 2571 of the family's 2925-position model. The record is from RNAcentral. Lineage: Bacteria; Bacillati; Bacillota; Bacilli; Caryophanales; Bacillaceae.